UGCCAAGCCACGGCGGUAAUACGUAGGGCGCAAGCGUUGUCCGGAAUUAUUGGGCGUAAAGAGCUCGUAGGCGGCUUGUCACGUCGGGUGUGAAAGCCCGGGGCUUAACCCCGGGUCUGCAUUCGAUACGGGCUAGCUAGAGUGUGGUAGGGGAGAUCGGAAUUCCUGGUGUAGCGGUGAAAUGCGCAGAUAUCAGGAGGAACACCGGUGGCGAAGGCGGAUCUCUGGGCCAUUACUGACGCUGAGGAGCGAAAGCGUGGGGAGCGAACAGGAUUAGAUACCCUGGUAGUCCACGCCGUAAACGGUGGGAACUAGGUGUUGGCGACAUUCCACGUCGUCGGUGCCGCAGCUAACGCAUUAAGUUCCCCGCCUGGGGAGUACGGCCGCAAGGCUAAAACUCAAAGGAAUUGACGGGGGCCCGCACAAGCAGCGGAGCAUGUGGCUUAAUUCGACGCAACGCGAAGAACCUUACCAAGGCUUGACAUACACCGGAAAGCAUCAGAGAUGGUGCCCCCCUUGUGGUCGGUGUACAGGUGGUGCAUGGCUGUCGUCAGCUC
Molecule: ribosomal RNA, 557 nt
Filed under: Streptomyces sp.
Lineage: Bacteria; Bacillati; Actinomycetota; Actinomycetes; Kitasatosporales; Streptomycetaceae
Description: bacterial SSU rRNA
Rfam family: Bacterial small subunit ribosomal RNA
Source: RNAcentral